Molecule: ribosomal RNA, 506 nt
Filed under: uncultured bacterium
Lineage: Bacteria
Description: partial 16S ribosomal RNA
Rfam family: Bacterial small subunit ribosomal RNA
Source: RNAcentral
AUUGAACGCUGGCGGCAUGCCUUACUCAUGCAAGUCGAACGGCAGCAUGAUCUAGCUUGCUAGAUUGAUGGCGAGUGGCGAACGGGUGAGUAAUACAUCGGAACGUGCCCUGUAGUGGGGGAUAACUAGUCGAAAGAUUAGCUAAUACCGCAUACGACCUGAGGGUGAAAGGGGGGGACCGCAAGGCCUCAUGCUAUAGGAGCGGCCGAUGUCUGAUUAGCUAGUUGGUGAGGUAAAGGCUCACCAAGGCGACGAACAGUAGCUGGUCUGAGAGGACGAUCAGCCACACUGGGACUGAGACACGGCCCAGACUCCUACGGGAGGCAGCAGUGGGGAAUUUUGGACAAUGGGCGAAAGCCUGAUCCAGCAAUGCCGCGUGUGUGAAGAAGGCCUUCGGGUUGUAAAGCACUUUUGUCCGGAAAGAAAUGGCUCUGGUUAAUACCUGGGGUCGAUGACGGUACCGGAAGAAUAAGGACCGGCUAACUACGUGCCAGCCGCCGCAGUAA